GACGAACGCUGGCGGCGUGCUUAACACAUGCAAGUCGAACGGAAAGGCCCUGCUUUUGUGGGGUGCUCGAGUGGCGAACGGGUGAGUAACACGUGAGUAACCUGCCCUUGACUUUGGGAUAACUUCAGGAAACUGGGGCUAAUACCGGAUAGGAGCUCCUGCUGCAUGGUGGGGGUUGGAAAGUUUCGGCGGUUGGGGAUGGACUCGCGGCUUAUCAGCUUGUUGGUGGGGUAGUGGCUUACCAAGGCUUUGACGGGUAGCCGGCCUGAGAGGGUGACCGGCCACAUUGGGACUGAGAUACGGCCCAGACUCCUACGGGAGGCAGCAGUGGGGAAUAUUGCACAAUGGGCGGAAGCCUGAUGCAGCAACGCCGCGUGCGGGAUGACAGCCUUCGGGUUGUAAACCGCUUUCGCCUGUGACGAAGCGUGAGUGACGGUAAUGGGUAAAGAAGCACCGGCUAACUACGUGCCAGCAGCCGCGGUGAUACGUAGGGCGCGAGCGUUGUCCGGAUUUAUUGGGCGUAAAGGGCUCGUAGGUGGUUGAUCGCGUCGGAAGUGUAAUCUUGGGGCUUAACCCUGAGCGUGCUUUCGAUACGGGUUGACUUGAGGAAGGUAGGGGAGAAUGGAAUUCCUGGUGGAGCGGUGGAAUGCGCAGAUAUCAGGAGGAACACCAGUGGCGAAGGCGGUUCUCUGGGCCUUUCCUGACGCUGAGGAGCGAAAGCGUGGGGAGCGAACAGGCUUAGAUACCCUGGUAGUCCACGCUGUAAACGGUGGGUACUAGGUGUGGGGUCCAUUCCACGGGUUCCGUGCCGUAGCUAACGCUUUAAGUACCCCGCCUGGGGAGUACGGCCGCAAGGCUAAAACUCAAAGGAAUUGACGGGGCCCCGCACAAGCGGCGGAGCAUGCGGAUUAAUUCGAUGCAACGCGUAGAACCUUACCUGGGUUUGACAUGGAUCGGGAGUGCUCAGAGAUGGGUGUGCCUCUUUUGGGGUCGGUUCACAGGUGGUGCAUGGCUGUCGUCAGCUCGUGUCGUGAGAUGUUGGGUUAAGUCCCGCAACGAGCGCAACCCUUGUUCACUGUUGCCAGCACGUUAUGGUGGGGACUCAGUGGAGACCGCCGGGGUCAACUCGGAGGAAGGUGGGGAUGACGUCAAGUCAUCAUGCCCCUUAUGUCCAGGGCUUCACGCAUGCUACAAUGGCUGGUACAGAGAGUGGCGAGCCUGUGAGGGUGAGCGAAUCUCGGAAAGCCGGUCUCAGUUCGGAUUGGGGUCUGCAACUCGACCUCAUGAAGUCGGAGUCGCUAGUAAUCGCAGAUCAGCAACGCUGCGGUGAAUACGUUCCCGGGGCU
Molecule: ribosomal RNA, 1346 nt
Filed under: uncultured bacterium
Lineage: Bacteria
Description: partial 16S ribosomal RNA
Rfam family: Bacterial small subunit ribosomal RNA
Source: RNAcentral